RNAcentral lists this ribosomal RNA (394 nucleotides) under Aureococcus sp. RNAcentral's name for it is "partial small subunit ribosomal RNA". It matches the Rfam family "Eukaryotic small subunit ribosomal RNA", at positions 582 to 975 of the family's 1831-position model. Lineage: Eukaryota; Pelagophyceae; Pelagomonadales; Pelagomonadaceae. The record is from RNAcentral.
AUUCCAGCUCCAAUAGCGUAUAUUAAUGUUGUUGCAGUUAAAAAGCUCGUAGUUGGAUUCCUGGCACGGGGUAGCCGGUCCGCCUUGCAAAAGGUGCGCACUGAGCGGCCUCGGCCAUCCUUGCGAUGGUCUAUCCUGGCAUUCGGUUGUCGGGGUGGGGAUUCGCGACGUUUACUGUGAAAAAAUCAGAGUGUUCAACGCAGGCUUACGCCUUGAAUACAUUAGCAUGGAAUAAUGAGAUAGGACCUUGGCGGUCUAUUUUGUUGGUUUGCACGCCGAGGUAAUGAUUAAAAGGGACGGUUGGGGUUCUUCGUAUUCAAUUGUCAGAGGUGAAAUUCUUGGAUUUAUGGAAGACGAACUGCUGCGAAAGCGCCGAACAAGGACGUUCUCAUCA